AGCGAACGCUGGCGGCAGGCCUAACACAUGCAAGUCGAACGAACCUUUCGGGGUUAGUGGCGGACGGGUGAGUAACACGUGGGAACGUGCCUUUAGGUUCGGAAUAACUCAGGGAAACUUGUGCUAAUACCGAAUGUGCCCUUCGGGGGAAAGAUUUAUCGCCUUUAGAGCGGCCCGCGUCUGAUUAGCUAGUUGGUUGAGGUAAUGGCUCACCAAGGCGACGAUCAGUAGCUGGUCUGAGAGGAUGAUCAGCCACAUUGGGACUGAGACACGGCCCAAAGGCCGACGGGCGGAAGUAGGGGGGUAUCGCGCGCAAUGGGCGGACGCCUGACGACGCCAUGCCGGGUGAAUGAUGAGGUUAUUAUGAUUGUAAAAUUCUUGCACCGGGGACGAUAAUGACGGGACCGGGAGAAGACGCCACGGCUAACUGCGUGCCAGCAGCGGCGGGAAUAGAUAGGCGCCCCACGCUUUAUC
This 474-nucleotide ribosomal RNA is filed under the name uncultured bacterium. Its description in RNAcentral is "partial 16S ribosomal RNA". It matches the Rfam family "Bacterial small subunit ribosomal RNA", at positions 31 to 542 of the family's 1533-position model. The record is from RNAcentral.